AAUUUUGGACAAUGGGCGCAAGCCUGAUCCAGCCAUGCGGCGUGAGUGAAGAAGGCCUCCUGGUGGUAAUGCCCUUUUGGACGGAAAGAAACAGCCCAGGCCAAUACCUUGCGCGGAUGAUGGUGCCCUCAUAAGAAGCACCGCCUAACAACGUGCCAGCCGCCGCGGUAAUACGUAGGGUGCGAGCAUUAAUCGGAAUCACUGGGCGUAAAGCGUGCGCAGGCGGUUGAUUAAGACAGGCGUGAAAUCCCCGGGCUUAACCUGGGAACUGCGCUUGUGACUGGUCAGCUAGAGUACGGCAGAGGGGGGUGGAAUUCCACGUGUAGCAGUGAAAUGCGUAGAGAUGUGGAGGAACACCGAUGGCGAAGGCAGCCCCCUGGGCCGAUACUGACGCUCAUGCACGAAAGCGUGGGUAGCAAACAGG
Molecule: ribosomal RNA, 424 nt
Filed under: uncultured bacterium
Lineage: Bacteria
Description: partial 16S ribosomal RNA
Rfam family: Bacterial small subunit ribosomal RNA
Source: RNAcentral